GGCAUUCAGUAGAACACAUUCAAAUCUUUCCAUACAUCAUGAAACAUUCACACAUUACAUCAUAUGCUCUUAUCGAAUUCAAAAAAGGAAAUUUUCAAUGAGAACAAACAGAAUCAUAAAUCGAGUUCUUUAGAAAUUACUGAGAGAUCCUGAUUAGAAAUCCCCAGUUUUACAUUGUUCCGCCACCCUCUCCGGUUGCCUUCUUUCUCUUCUUUUCCUCUUCUCCGAUUUUCUCUGUUAGAAUCCCAGAUAUUACGGACCCAGACGAAACGAAAAUCGAGAAAACGGGAUGGUUGCACGAAGAAGCAAAUCAGCAAGGAAGCAGGGGAUCACAACAGGUGCAGGAGGAACUCGGUAAAACCCAGUGCAGAGAAGCAGAAAAUCAGGGAACAGAAUAAGGAAAAUGGAAACGCAUGCAGGGUAUUCGAAGCCCUAUGCACGGAAUCAACUGAACCGGACAGGCUUUCUCUAGCGACGAACCGGCCUAAUCCCUAAACCGAACCGACCUUUCUUCUACCCUCUCCAUUCAGCGAACCCGAUGGAUGCAUCCCCUCUGUUCACCGGCUUUUCCGCAACGUUCCGGCGUCCUUGGCAACGAUUGGCAAUUUGUAUAACAUAUGCAUGCACCAUUUUGUAUAUAUAAACUACCUAUUUAAAGGAUUUGAGCAUCGAAGUGUAUUUGCAAAGAUUAAUCUCAAUCAUCUGAAUCUCUCUCUAUCUUUCUCUUUUCAGCUUCUCUCUCUCUAAAAUCUCUACCUUUUCCUUCUCACUCUCGGCUCCUCCCUCUCUCGGCAGUCCUUUUUCUCUCUCUCCAGUCUCCUUUCUCUCGGACUCUUUUCCUCUCUCCCCGACUCCCUCUUUUGUCUCUCUUUUUGAUAUCUUUCCUUCUCUCUCUACAACUUUCUCUAAAUUCUGUUCCCUCCUAAUCUUCUAUUAAUUCUAGAUUCUUCCCCCGGUAUUCUUAAUAUUUUCAACUUGCCCCAUGAUUAUUUAAAAUUCAAUAUUUUUUUUCGUAUUCCCACUCCAAUAGAGUAUAUGUCAAGAUUGGUGUUGACACGUUCUCACUCCAUUUUUUCACUUCAAGCUCCCUUCUCUCAAACCUAAAGAAAGAUGCCCCCCUUCAAUAGUUGCUGUAAUAAUAAUUUUGAUUUGUGACAAUUAAAAAGGGCACUACAAAAAAAAUCAACAGAAAAGGAAAAGAAUUAGCAGCCUCUUAUGCUCUCAACAAGCUACCAACUUCAAAUCACUAUCCUCAAAGAAUUAAACUAAACUUUCCGUCGCAGUAAACAAAAAUGAAUAAUAAGCAAAAGUGAUAAACGAAUCAAUAUCAGAACCAGCUGAAGUGAGAAUCUUAGUACAUAGCACAAUAUUACAACACGAAAAA
This 1384-nucleotide long non-coding RNA is filed under the name Carica papaya (papaya). Its description in RNAcentral is "long non-coding RNA (CPAP_LNC016429)". The record is from RNAcentral. Lineage: Eukaryota; Viridiplantae; Streptophyta; Magnoliopsida; Brassicales; Caricaceae.